GCUGUAUGGCAUAAAAAAAAUAAAUAAAUAAUAGAUUACUUGUUUAAAUUUAAAAGCAAAAUGUCACUAGAAUAGAAAAGAGAAGAUAUUCUUAAAAAAUUAUUACAAUAAAUUAAUUCAUAUAUUAAACAUAAAAAAAUACGUAAGAGAAAUUCAUGUUACAAAAUUUAUCCAAUAACAAUGUAAUUAAAUGACUUGACUAGGGGACAGAGUAACUUGAUUUAGCCUCUCCUAGGCUUUGUCUGUAUAUAAAGAACGGAGACAUAGCCUAGAAUAGGUUAGGUCAGGGCUCGUUCAACAUGAUUAUCUUCAUACUACUUCUUAUAACUACUUCUUCUCAUCCAAGGUCAAGCUCAAGGUCAAUAAGCAAUGGAAAAUGUCAAAGGAAUAUUAUAGUGAAAUAAAAGUCAAAACGAAAUUUACCUUAAAUGGAUUGGGAAGCUCUCAAUUGUAACCAAUGUAAGAGAUGUCCAAGCAAUAGCAAAAACUGCUAUAAAACCACCUUCAAAACCAAGCACUGCAGAACUAUUUGUGCCCACUAAAAUUAAACAUAAAGCAGCUAUUGAGGAGAAAAAUAAUGAAAUACCAAUCAUCUUUGGCCGUUGAAACACAGUAAGUGCUAGCCCUGCUAAAGCAGCAGCAGGCACAAAGGAUAAUUGAGCAACAAGAUGACCAUGUAAUACUUCUUCUAUGUAAAUAUUAUAAUCCAAAUCGAGAGUCGGACACGGUCCUCUUAAACUUAAUUCUGUAUUAUUUUCAAGUGUGCAAUUUGUAAAAACUUGUGCAGAUAAAUCCGUAUCUACAAAUCUAGAAGAAUAGAUAAGAAUAUAUAUUUUACAUUUAAGAAAACACCAAAUAUUGUUAUUUUAAAUGCAUACUUUGAAUGCACAAUAAUACUGUGUGUAAAAUGAGUUUUACUAGACUUUAUGUUAUUAAAUUCUACGGAUUGAAAAGUACAAUUAUCGAAAUCUACGUGACUGAAUACCAUUUUACUGAAUCUGAAACAAAAAUUCUGUUAUAAAAAACCAAUCUUAAUUUUAUAUACUUCUUUUUAUAUCUACUUACUUGCAAUUCAAAAAUGUUGAAUCUUUAUAUUGACAAUUUUCUAAAGAACCAUUGAAUGUUUUUCCUUGAUGUAUUUCAUCAUGAAAUAGAACUUUAUGAGCUUUAUAUUCUGUAGCACGCAAAAGUUUAAGAUACUCGGGACACCAUACCAUAAGACCAUAUAAUCUGAAAAAAAAAAAAUAAAAUCAGAAUAUUGAAAAAUAAAAAUAAAUGAAAUAUUUAAUAAAAAUACAUACCCAAAUGAUACAGUUGACCAAAUAAUUAUAAGCACUACUGUAACGCGCAAAUGAGGUGAUACAAAUAAUUCUAAAAAGGAAUUCCAGAACUGAAAAUUUAAUAAAAAUUAGAUGUUAAUUAAAUGUAAAAAAUGGUAUAAAUUUUGUAAAUUAUAUUGAAAUAAAAAAAUAUAUAUGUUAUUUAUACCAUCUCAAUGGAAUAAAUUAUAUCAGCCAAAACACUAGUAUGAUUACUAGGAGAUGGAGGUGCUAAUCCACGAGGCCUUUUAGUUGGAAGCUCUAAUUCAGAAAGUUGAUAUUGUGCGCCUGUUGCACCUUUCCGCGUAUUAUUUUUUUUAUAUAUUUUCUAAAAAAAUAUAAUAUCUUAGAUAUAAAAACAAAAAUUUUUUAAAUAUAAAUAUACAUAAUGAAAAAUACCUGAUAAACCAUCAUUGCCUCCACAUCUCUGCCAACUUCUACCAAAUAUCUUGGACUUUCUGGUAGAAAAAUAAGCCCAAUAGUAGAACAUAAUGCAGGUAAACAGCAAAGUAAAAGAAAACGAUGCCAAGCACUGAAAUGUUCUUUAUUUUCAAGAACUACCAUUUCUCCAGUUGUAGGAACUACUACCCAUGCUAAAAGAGCUGCAUAUACACCUCCCAAUGCUCCUGCUGCUACUAAUAGACCAACCCAUCUACUUCUGCUUAAUCUUGGACAACAUUCUGCGAGAUAUGUAAAUGCUAAUGGUAAAGAUCCUCCUACUCUAUAAAAUAAAAUGAAAUAAAAUGUAACUUUUUUUUGAAUGAAAUUUAAAAUUUAUUUAAAUAUAAAUACAAAAAAAAAACAUCUUACCCAAUUGCAGAACAAAAUCUAGCACACAUAAAAGUUCCAUAAGUUGGCAUAAAAGUUGCAACACCACUAAAUAAAGCAUGAACAGCCAUUGCAGAUAAUAAAGAUCUUCGUCUACCAAUUCUAUCUCCCAAACCACCCCAAAAUAAUCCACCUAGUGCAAGGCCCAUUAAAGUAAUAUUACCUAUAAGAAAAAAGCAUAAGAGUAAUUAUUAUAGAAAAAUAUUUUAUACAAAAUAAAAUAAAAACUAACUGA
This is a long non-coding RNA of Apis cerana (Asiatic honeybee), 2382 nucleotides long. RefSeq lists it as uncharacterized. The record is from RefSeq and is a predicted model, not a curated record. NCBI's taxonomy places the organism in Eukaryota, Metazoa, Arthropoda, Insecta, Hymenoptera, Apidae.